AAUUUUGGACAAUGGGGGCAACACUGAUCCAGCCAUUUCGCGUGUGUGAUGAAGGCCUUCGGGUUGUAAAGCACUUUUGGCAGGAAAGAAAUCGCGCGGGCUAAUAUCCUGCGUGGAUGACGGUAUCUGCAGAAUAAGCACCGGCCAACUACGUGCCAGAAGCCGCGGAAAUACGUCGGGUGCAAGCGUGAAUCGGAAUUACUGGGCGUAAAGGGGGGGAAGGCGGUUCGGAAAUAAGGAUUUAAAAUCCCAGGGCUCAACCUUGGAAUGGCAUUGUUAACUACCGGGCUAGAGUGUGUCGGAGGGGGGUGGAAUUCCGCGUGAGGCAGUAAAAGGCGUAGAGAUGCGGAGGAACACCGAUGGCGAAGGCAGCCCCCUGGGAUAACACUGACGCUCAGGCACGAAAGCGUGGGUAGCAAAC
This 421-nucleotide ribosomal RNA is filed under the name uncultured bacterium. Its description in RNAcentral is "partial 16S ribosomal RNA". It matches the Rfam family "Bacterial small subunit ribosomal RNA", at positions 360 to 773 of the family's 1533-position model. The record is from RNAcentral.